CGCUCGGGACUCUCACCCACAGCUGCCCUUGAACCCCCAGCAGAAAUAGGGAACAUGGAGGGACCAUCCUGCCAGCCAGACAAGGGGCCCUGGGCUGAAAGAAGGCAAAUGCUGACUGAGGAGUUUGUUCCUCUUGGCAAGAGGCCUUCACGAAUCUCCUUCAAGAAGCCGGGGGCUCCUGUGACAGCAUAGAGCCGCAGAGGAGUCGCUGACAGUGAGGACGCAGAGAUGUGAAGGUGACAUUACCACCUGUGAGCCGACAGAUUUCCCUUAGCAGAAGCUGUGGAGUGUGACAAUGGUGUUUGUGUGCAAACCAUCAAACGCCAUUAUCACACUAAAUAGCUACUGCUAGGCAGCUCAUCGGCUCCGCAAGUGUCCUGGCAUCUGUUCUCUCUGAACAAGAAGUUUUGUCUUCUACUAGCCCUCUCUCUCCACGGUGUGUAAUUUCUGAAUAAAAUCUGAUAUUCUUGCGUUCAUAA
Long non-coding RNA from Peromyscus leucopus (white-footed mouse), 479 nucleotides. RefSeq lists it as uncharacterized. The record is from RefSeq and is a predicted model, not a curated record. The transcript is spliced from 2 exons. Lineage: Eukaryota; Metazoa; Chordata; Mammalia; Rodentia; Cricetidae.